Molecule: long non-coding RNA, 1849 nt
Filed under: Hordeum vulgare
Lineage: Eukaryota; Viridiplantae; Streptophyta; Magnoliopsida; Poales; Poaceae
Description: long non-coding RNA (HVUL_LNC007654)
Source: RNAcentral
CAAAUUAAAAUCAUUCAUCAUAUAACAUCACAUAAUACAUCGCCCAGGUUUACAUAACACAAUAACUCAUCUCAUGAAUACAUUUUCUUACACAUGAAUAUAGCAAGAACAGACAGAAUUGCACAAUAGAACAAUGACACAUCUGCUACUAUCCCAACAGUAUAAUGGACUUCAUUCUAGUUUUCUACGAGACAUGCUCGAGAUGCGACAACUUGUCAUCCUACAAGAACAUUGCACUGCACAUGAAUCAAUCAAAAAAAAUAUAAAAAAUAUUAGAAAUAAAAAAGAUUUGUAUUCAUCCUGAAGAUGAUGUUCAAAGAAAUGCGAACAAAAGUGAGAGAGACAUGCACUUAGUUUUUUUUAGUAGGAAGUUGUGCGCGCAUAGACACGGUACCACACCAUUCAAGAUAAUUAACGGAAACUAGACAUAAACAUAGGCCAAGUUCAAAUCAAAAUAUGUAACUGUGAAGCCAAAUCAAACAAACGAAUAUGUUUAGCCAACCAAGCAGGAGAGCACUAACCAAACAAUGCUUCCCAGCUAGCUAGUACACUAGAACGUGACCAUCCAACACGCAUACACGCAUCAUGCAGGAAUAUAUAUGAACAUUUUUCUGUAAGGGGGAAAUCAAGACCUUAUUAACCAAACAAUGCUUCCUAGCUAGCUAGUACACUAGAACGUGACCAUCCAACACGCAUACACGCAUCAUGCAGGAAUAUAUAUGAACAUUUUUCUGUAAGGGGGAAAUCAAGACCUUAUUUUGGAAGGACUAAAGAGCUCUUGAACGAGUUCUAGUCAUCAAGUAUAUAAAUCAAGCAAUGCUCCACUUCUAAUUUAUUCCAGUAUUUUUACUUCUAAUAUAUUCCAGUAUUUUUCGACAUGUGUGAUGCUUUUCUGGAAACAUGGAGUAGAAGUAUUUUUGGAAACAUGAAAAAGCAUGAUUUAUUAUCCUGGAGUCUAGACAAGAGUUGUUCUGAGCAUUGUUACUCGAGCGAAGAGGAUGACUAAAAGCGUUCAAUGGUUGAGAAUAUACCAACAGCUUCAAACUCUCCUAACGAAAGAUUCAAGUGCUGGAAAUCUAGAAGCGGGACAGAUUAUACAGUUACCUGAGUGGAGUAAGGGACAGUUUCCAACAUAGAAAUUUCAAACAAAUGAGUCCAUUUCCUGCAUGAACAUAAAUUAAAGUUAGUGUUCAAAACUUAGCAAGUUUGUGUUAAGAACUUAAGCUCCUUACUGAAAACAUAAUGUACAACAGUUUGGCCACACCAAAUCAUAUAUUAUUUUUUAUUACUACUACUAUAUGGUUAGAUUCAACUACUACGUCUCGUCUGGCAAGCUGACAAUUAAAUUGAGUGUACUGGAGUAUACUGAUGCAACUAGAUUUGCAUCCGUCACCUUCAAAAAUCACAUGGAAGGAUAUGCCACCGGAGUCCAGUACCCAACAACCAAUGAUGCGGUUCACACUGACAGUAAGAGAAAACAAAUUAAACUUGUAUAAAUAUGGACAUGUGGGGGGCUGGUGGCUCAGUCUGCCGUCCAAGUGACCAUGUUUAACCGAUAUAAGUUUAAGGUUUGUCUCCAUGUUGCCAAUAAUGCAGCUUUUAAAGAAUUGAUUCACAUACUGCAGAAUAAUUCAAUUAUAGUAAGAGUAAAACAUGUUGCUAUAGUUAAUAAGGUAAGAUGCCAGGCUGACCAGUCAAGAAAUCUGCAGAAAAAACAAGAUUUCCAGCCGAAAAAGAAAAAAGCUAAGGCAUUCCCAUCAACGUUUGGCCUUAAUCAACAUGCCAUUCUUUUUAAGAAGACAAAUAUAUAAGCAAUAAGCAAUACUCACUGCUAAAUUCAGUGUGUUGU